GGUAGUUCUCGGUUGAUGCACCCUGGAAUCGGGCUCCCUCCUCACUGGUUUCUGGUGCUUCACCUGAGAACCGCA
Molecule: non-coding RNA, 75 nt
Organism: Myotis davidii
Lineage: Eukaryota; Metazoa; Chordata; Mammalia; Chiroptera; Vespertilionidae
Source: Rfam